RNAcentral lists this long non-coding RNA (244 nucleotides) under Carica papaya (papaya). RNAcentral's name for it is "long non-coding RNA (CPAP_LNC009651)". The record is from RNAcentral. Lineage: Eukaryota; Viridiplantae; Streptophyta; Magnoliopsida; Brassicales; Caricaceae.
AAGGGAUGAAGCAUUAGCUUUUGGGAUCAUAUAAUUUAAGGGAGACGACCCAAGCCCAUGAUCAAUCAGCCAUUCAAGGUCUCGGCCUGAAGGACAUGCGUGCAUAAGCAAGCCCAUGCAUGCGCGAGGUGAAUAUAUUGCACAUGCAGCCACUUUGGAAGUGUGUGCAUGCGAGGAGGCCAACCCGCUCACCCAAUUCUGCAACCAGCGAACAUCGACCAGCAAGCUAACAGGCCGUGUGCAC